This 254-nucleotide ribosomal RNA is filed under the name uncultured bacterium. Its description in RNAcentral is "partial 16S ribosomal RNA". It matches the Rfam family "Archaeal small subunit ribosomal RNA", at positions 474 to 727 of the family's 1478-position model. The record is from RNAcentral.
CCCCAGCGCCACAAGUGGUUCUCACGAUUAUUGGGCCUAAAGCGUUCGUAGCCGGUUUGGUAAAUCUCUUGUGAAAUUGUUCGGCUUAACCGGACAGCGUGCAGGAGACACUGCUAGACUCGAGACCGGGAGGCGUAUGAAGUAUUCCAUGGGGACUGGUAAAAUGGGAUAAUCCAUGGAAGACUACCGAUGGCGAAGGCAUCAUACGAGAACGGAUCUGACGGUGAGGAACGAAAGCCAGGGGAGCGAACCGG